This 67-nucleotide transfer RNA is filed under the name Nuttallia olivacea. RNAcentral's name for it is "tRNA-Ala". The record is from RNAcentral. Lineage: Eukaryota; Metazoa; Mollusca; Bivalvia; Cardiida; Psammobiidae.
AGCGUAGUACUUUAAGUUAAAAGAUUGGUUUUGCAUGCUAACAUUGGGAAAUUAUUCCCUUACGCUG